AUUGAACGCUGGCGGCAUGCUUUACACAUGCAAGUCGAACGGUAACAGGCCGCAAGGUGCUGACGAGUGGCGAACGGGUGAGUAAUGCAUCGGAACGUGCCCAGUCGUGGGGGAUAACGCAGCGAAAGCUGUGCUAAUACCGCAUACGAUCUAUGGAUGAAAGCGGGGGACCGUAAGGCCUCGCGCGAUUGGAGCGGCCGAUGUCAGAUUAGGUAGUUGGUGGGGUAAAGGCCUACCAAGCCGACGAACUGUAGCUGGUCUGAGAGGACGAGCAGCCACACUGGGACGUAGACACGGCCCAGACUCCUACGGGAGGCAGCAGUGGGGAAUUUUGGACAAUGGGCGCAAGCCUGAUCCAGCAAUGCCGCGUGCAGGAAGAAGGCCUUCGGGUUGUAAACUGCUUUUGUACGGAACGAAACGGUCUGGGUUAAUACCCUGGGCUAAUGACGGUACCGUAAGAAUAAGCACCGGCUAACUACGUGCCAGCAGCCGCCGCGG
This 498-nucleotide ribosomal RNA is filed under the name uncultured bacterium. Its description in RNAcentral is "partial 16S ribosomal RNA". It matches the Rfam family "Bacterial small subunit ribosomal RNA", at positions 29 to 523 of the family's 1533-position model. The record is from RNAcentral.